Molecule: small nuclear RNA, 123 nt
Filed under: Homo sapiens (human)
Lineage: Eukaryota; Metazoa; Chordata; Mammalia; Primates; Hominidae
Description: snRNA-U1-related
Rfam family: U1 spliceosomal RNA
About the family: U1 is a small nuclear RNA (snRNA) component of the spliceosome (involved in pre-mRNA splicing). Its 5' end forms complementary base pairs with the 5' splice junction, thus defining the 5' donor site of an intron.
Source: RNAcentral
AUAUGUACCUGGCAGGGGAGAUACCAUGAUCAUGAAGGUGGUUUUCCCAGGGUGAAGCUUAUCCAUUGUACUCCGGAUAUGCUGACCCCUGUGAUUUCCCCAGAUGUAGGAAACUCAACUACA